This 7687-nucleotide long non-coding RNA is filed under the name Oryza brachyantha (malo sina). RNAcentral's name for it is "long non-coding RNA (OBRA_LNC000660)". Lineage: Eukaryota; Viridiplantae; Streptophyta; Magnoliopsida; Poales; Poaceae. The record is from RNAcentral.
CCGCCCACAGGAAUCACUGUCAAGCACAUCAGGUAGGAGCACAUCUUCUUAAUUAAUGACCAUUUCGAAUUUUAUAUCAUUCACAACCAUACACGUUUUAUACGUGAUAAUUUGGAGGGGAAAAAACAUACCAAGACAAGAACAUGAGGAGUAUUCAAUUUGCAUUUUUCUCAUAUAUCACGAGGUAUCACUGUUUUUUAUAUAAAAUUCGAUGUCUUUUAUUAUCUAAGAUAUCAAAAGAUACUAAAUUUUACUGCCUCCUGCUAUCUUAAUUAUACUUAUACUAUAGUAGAUGAUUAAAAAACUGUCCCUACGGUCAAUACGAUAAGGUUUUUUGGAUCUACUUAGACUAAUCCAUAUAUCAAUGUAUACGUGUGUAGAUUAAUUAAUAGGCAAAAAAAUCUUAUAAUAAUAUGAAACAUAUAUAUAAAAGUUUUAUUCGUAAGUUAUUUUCCGACUACGCCUGAAUUUCGCUUCUACUGUGUGUGAAGGACCGGCGAGGAUGUGGCGCUGUCGAGGCGAGUCGUGGCAACCUUCCUUCUGAUGACAAUGGCGGACUUCAGUGACCAGCUGUUCGACUGGCAGGACCGCCUCUUCAACAACAGCAAUGGCCACCUCGAGUUCAGUGGCAACAGCUGGGCGUCGCUCUGGCCAGGCACCGGCAAGCCCGGCCUCUGGACCACCUCCAUCUCCCGCAUGGGCGCGCUCUACACCCUCAUCGUUCGCGAGGAAGAGAUAUACAUCGCUCACCGGCAGCAGAGCAGCAGCCUCGGCCGCCAAGAAGGCGACGGCCGUGACGAGGACAUCGAGCUGGUUAUCCCGCCGGUGUUCAACGGCUGCACCGAGGUGGUCAGCGCCGACGACCAGAAGGCGGCACGGGACCUCUACUGGGAGGCAGUCUGCAGCGGCGGCGACGGCGAGGAUGAGACGGAGACGGAUUGGCGCAGAGUGGAGGAGCUCCUGCGGCAGAGCAUUGGCAAGAACCCGUUCGUGGGAGAGCCUCGCGUGGUUCUUGGGCAGGUUCUGCUCAACAUGGAGAUGUACGAGGAGGCAGAGGAGCAGGUGGAGGCGGGGCUGGAGCUGCUGCUGGAGUGGGGGAGCAGCUGGGACAAGAGAAUGCCAUGGGAAGCUUGGGUGUCAUGGGGCAGGGCGAUGCUGACCAAGGCCAAGGACAAGGAUUGGCCGCACACCUCCUUCGGCAUCCUCAGCCUAGGCCUUGUCAAGUGAUCGAUCACCUCGGAUUCAUAUGUAUAUGUGCUGAUGCAGGUGCUGCCAUGGCUUCUUCUUCCAUCCUGUGUACCAAAACUACUGCAGAGUAUUUCUGUCUGUUCCUUCUUUCCUUCCUUCCUUCCUGUCAGUCUCUGGUGGUUAAGCUGCAGGUGCAAAUGUCAGAACACCAUUUGAUAUGCUACCCUCUAAGCAAUUACCAUGUGCAUAGCUCUAUUGACAUGGAAUAUUGUAGACAUACGGUGGAUAUGGAAUAAAUUAUGUUUCCUACUGAUGAUACGCAUUGGCAACAGCCUUUUUCCUACCGACAAACAUUUGUAACAAAGCACCAAUACCGCAAAAUAUUUUGCAUCUACUAGAUACUAAUAUGGUAGUAGUGCAUUGCACAUUUGCUUGUAGUAUUAAUCAAAUUUUAGUGUCACUGGGUUGGGCUGUGUGUUAAUUGUGGUAUCUAAAAUUGGUUCCGUUGAUGAUAAUUACUCGAGCAAUUUUACAGUUCUUGACUAGGUAUCAAGAGAUAAAUUUUGAUACCUCUUAGUACCUAAGGUACCUAAAUUUACAUAGAAAAAAAUGAUACUUAAGAACUGUAAAAUUGCUCUAAUUACUCGUAUAGACGGUUUGAUCUUCACCAUAAAUAGUUGCGGUGAAUAUAUAACUUACACUCGAUGAACUGCACCAAUGAGAUGAAUUUUACUAGCUAGACGUCUUUGUUAAACUCGAUCGUUUUAAUAUCGUGCAAUUACCAUUGGUUGAGGGGGGUAAGGUUGUUUUUUUUUUUUGUUAAAGUAGUAUAGAACAGUGAAAAUGUGUGUCCAAAGGCUUGGCCAUUCCCUAGCUACACGUAUGAGAAAACUGAAGGCUAGUUGCUACUGCUACUUGCCUCCAUGGAUUCUGUAACUCUCAUUCAGACGUGCAUAUAGUACAGGAUGUGUUGAACUUGAAAAGUUAUGGGUGAUCGAGGCGUGUUGCAUUGAUUGUUGGGUGAUCAAGUUUGAUGUUAAUUUACAUCAGUUGCCAAGCUAGCACUGCUGGAAUCCAAAUGCGUUGGUAUGUAUGUAUGCACACCAGGCAGGCUAAAGCGGUGCAUCUUUGCUGCUGCCUAUACUAUCUAUGAAUGCUCAAAGUUGGAGAGUAGGCAAAUACAUGCAUGCAUCAUCUGUAUUGGCAUAAUGCAUAUGGACAAGAUCUCAAGCUUCACCAUCAAACUAGCUAGCUAAUAGCUUUUGCUUGCGUGAUCGAUCGAUCUAUCGACACAUAAUGCAUAUGUUAUUAUCAUUUAUUUCGUUAUGAUUUAUUUUGUUAUUACAAGAAUUUUAAACAUAACAUAUAUUUUUAAUAAGAUAAACGAUCAAGCUUAAAAACAAACAAUAGAUUAAGACACUGUAAACCAGAGGGGGUACCAAACAACGACGUGUACUUUUAGUCUCCGUUAUUACAAGUUUUCAUAGAGAACGUACUUGAAAUGAGUGAGUAAAUAGGUAGUAUGUGAACAUGCAUUCGAGGAGCGGUACUGCAGCAAGGUGCGACGGGUCUGCAUGUACUGGGCCUGCGUGGGUCUACUUUCCCGCCUAAUUGUGCUUUCGGCUCCACAGCAAGCAACCAAAGCAACCAGAAUCAAUGCAACCACUAAUCAAUCUACCUUACCACUAUAUAAUCUAAAUUUCAUACAUUUCUUUGCACUCCGAAUUAACGUCACAAUUUUUAGGGCUUCAGAACGGUAGUGGUGUUCAUGUCCGUCAUCUAUUAAUAACAUAAAAAAUAUUAAAGAUAAUGCUUUGGACCUGCCCUGCCACCAGGAUGCAAGUUAGAUGCUCCAAAAUUUAGAUCGGAUGGAACUGGAGGUUGGGAGGCAAUCUAGGCAGGCCAAAUCGGGUCUCCAUCCAUCAAUCCAAUUCAUUCAUAUUGGCCCAUUCACAAUGAAAAAAUGCUGUUCGAUACUGUAGGUAUAUAUAUGGGGAGCACACCUGUUUUUUCUUUAAUUUCCUUAAUUGUUGUUUAAUGCUAGUAAUUAGCUCUUGUUGGAAUCCGAUUCCGAGAUUUUUCAUAUGAUGCAAAUUAACAAUGGUGCCUGCAGCACGCAUAUGUAGAUGCAAUCAGGAUUUCUCUUAAAAGCUGGUAAUCGCGGCAAGCGUGUUUACCGCUGAGAAACUGUUCUGCUAUUAAUAUUUUAAAUGUUAUUAGAUGAUAAAAUAUAAAUAAUACUUUGCAUGGCUAAUUUUUUUAAAAAAAAUUUACAAAUCUUUCAAAUAAGAUGGAUAAUCAAAUGCUGGACACAGAAACCGGAGACAGUAUCUUGGUAAAAUGUGUCUGGUUUUGCUAGUUGUUGAUGUGGUCUCUGCAGCCGUCAUCAGCUAUGGCGGUAGUACUACCCAAGUUUGGGAGCACCGUCACCUUAAAUUGUCAUAGUCAUGGUGUACAUGAAGCAAACAAGGAUCAUGCACAUCAUUCGUCAAUCAGUCAUCGAUAUGAAAAGCUUAACGCAUUUUCUGGCCUCCUGCAGAAGCAUGGAGUAUGAAAUGAAAGAAAGAAUGGUACUGUGGCCUGCUUUACGCACAGAAGAAAGUCAUCAUGGAGAAAGUAGCAAGUCUGUGUGCAUAGAAAUUAGAGGAGCAGAGCUGAUCAACAAGGUUGUAGUCUGCGUGUCUCCUGCCAAAGUGCAAAGGAGAGACGAAAAGGAGGGGAUGAUGGGGCAGGUAAGCUGGAAAUUUGCGUCACACAUUUCGUCCAAGGUUUGUUACUCCUAUUAUUCAUUUCACACAUCCAUCAUUUGCCACAUACAUGCUCAUCAAAGCAACACUAGUAAAAAAUACUACUAUAUUAUUAUAAUAUUAUUAUUGACAGUAUUAAGUAAAUGAGGCACACAAAUGAUAAUUAAGGGUAAGAAAAUACUACUAGGGCUCAUUUUCACAUGGUCUGUCGUAAUCCUCUAACCCAUGUAAGGGCAUGCAUUAUGCAAGCCACCCUAUCAGAAGAAGGCAAGUGCCACGUAGGAUAGAGCUACACACCCCGCAAUACACAUGGCUUUGAGUGGGUCCCACUUUUUUUAUUAUUCUUUUCCUCACCCCCCUCUCUCUCUUCUCCCCCGGUUCACUCUCUCCCUCCCUCACAUCUCUAGUAUUCUCCUCUCUCUCCCAACGAUGGGAGAUUGCCUGCUCGGCAGAGCUAGUGGCGGCGGCGGCCGCGUCCCCAUGGCGACGAGGUGGAUUUGGAGAGCGGCGGCUCGUCGGGCGAGCAGCGGGUCGGCAGUCGAGGGCGGCNNNNNNNNNNNNNNNNNNNNNNNNNNNNNNNNNNNNNNNNNNNNNNNNNNNNNNNNNNNNNNNNNNNNNNNNNNNNNNNNNNNNNNNNNNNNNNNNNNNNNNNNNNNNNNNNNNNNNNNNNNNNNNNNNNNNNNNNNNNNNNNNNNNNNNNNNNNNNNNNNNNNNNNNNNNNNNNNNNNNNNNNNNNNNNNNNNNNNNNNNNNNNNNNNNNNNNNNNNNNNNNNNNNNNNNNNNNNNNNNNNNNNNNNNNNNNNNNNNAAGCUCGACGCGCGUUCCGGCGACGUCGGCGGAGGUUGACGUGUUCCGGCGACAACGGCGGAGCUCGGCGCGCAUUCCGGCGACGUCGGCGGAGCUCGGCAUGUUCUGACGGCGGAAGGCGGUCUUCUCCUUCAGCUCUGGCGGACCAGAGGUGACUGUCUCCUUUACUCUUCGGUUGCCGAGAAAACUGACAAAAAGCUUGACAAAAGCCUGCGAGGCAUGCGAGAAGCUUGCCUGGGGGACGGUUCUCUCCUAGCUGGAGGGGAAUCUGGCUGAGGCUCCUUUGACACACCACCGCUGUGUAUGGCCUAAGUGAUGUGCUGAAAGAAAGAGACCUGCUGCAGCAGAGCUUGCAAGUGUUGGGUCCAGACCAGAAACGAGACGAGGGAGGCAGAGCCAGACUUGCUGCUGCCAACACAGUCCAAGUCAAUUCAAUCCUCUUUUUGCGCUAUGCACAUGUCCUGGCUGCUACAAUUUCUGCAAGUAGCAGCAUUUGCCUGGUCUGAUUGGCCACCUGCUGCAGAUAUUAUAGGAGUACAUGUCAUCCUUUCCUCUAGUAUAUCCAUAUCCUGCACUCACUCACUCCUCAUACAUGCUAAUAAUAUUAAUGCAACCACGGAAACGAAAGCAACGUCCCCAAGAAAGCGAACGAUCAUUCGAUUCCUCAUCAAGCAUCACAAAUUCACACAAUACCACCCACAGAGGACACAAGUGCAAUUUGUUCAGGCCAAGGUUUAGCUAGCUGAACCUGUGAGCAUCAAUAUUUCCACACUAGUUAAAAGUGGGCCAACUUUUGCUUGAUGAAAGUUGAAACUAUCCCCCAUCGCUUUAACAAUUGGAAUACUGCUCACAGCUAUUGUAACAAACGUCAGGGAAACAUGUUUUAAAGCAUUUCUACUUGUACCAGUAGAAGAAGAGGUUUCCCAGACAAAGUGAGCUCAAGAUAGAUGGCAGUGCAGGUACAAACACCAUCUUGUCCCACCAUUACCCAAUUAUUAAAGCCACAAGACAGGAUCUCGGAGGAUGCAGAUGCAGUACCCAUCAUCAUUUUACCAGGCUUCUUUUACUACUAGUACCAGUAGUACAAUCCUUUUUACUAAUGGGUAUCUGUAGCUUUCUGGAUCAGGUAACUAACUUUACGGCACACUAUCUGAACAUAUAAUCAAACACGCACUAAAACAGUGUUGUUGACACCCAAGCUCACUUUUAUAUUAAUCAUUUCUGUAAUGCAAAAGGAUUAACAAGAAGGAGCACUAACGGAACAGCAAAGGAAGGAAACGCAAAAACACCGGGAGAGCAGAGACAAGAUGAUGCAUCAGCAGAUACAGAGUUGACCAUCUUGAAGUGAGUGUUAUCCAGGAUGAAAAAGGAGGGUAGAAAAGGGGAGUGAGGAAAAAGGAAAAGGCAUAGAAAUCGAAAGGGAUUACACCCACUUAACACAAAAAAAGGGGGAGAAGGAAGAAGGAAAGAAAAGUUAAACGCGCGUUCAUUAUCGUGCACGAUAAUUAAACAGGCACCAACCAAACAGGCGCAGAGACAGGAUUCCUCCACAUAAAAAAGUUGGUUUGCCACCCAGACCACCCCCACAGGAUUAUUCUAAUUCCAGCGCAGCGCACAUGCACAGUGCUGCUUAUGCAAGAUUGACAUCGCAAUGCAAUCCAAAGCCUCUAAUUGUAUGUGUCCUUGGUGACGGACUCGCAAUUUUUUUUGUAAGCAAGAUAACAAUAAGUGUAUCAUGGUACUACUAGAAAGAUGAGUGACAGAGACAUAGCAACCAACAGUCACAGGCAGGCAGAUGGAGAUUCAACAUUCUUGUUUAUGUGUUUUCUCCUUGCUUAUUUUGUCCAUUCAUUCACUCAUUCAUGGUGAUAAUUUAACACAUGAAACAACCCAUACAUACAUGCAUACAUACAGAAGAGCCGAGCUACCAGCCUACCAACAGUUACUUAUUAUUAUUCUCCCCAAGCACUAAUCCAAUCCAGAGAUCAACACAAAAGAACAAUAACAAGAGGAAGAAAAAUCUGGACAAGGCCUAAAGAGCUACAGCAGCAGCAAGCAGACAGGAAACAGGUGAGACGACUUACAUUACAGGCAGCCUUGUUUUGGUCAGGUAAAUUUCUUUUGUUCAUUUCUUGGCACGGCAUUGCAGCAGCAGUUGCACACUUGAUUGACACCAGUUGUGACUUGUGCAGGCAAAGCAAGCAGGCCUUUGUUUUCUUCUUUCUUUUUGUUUCUUGGAGUGGCACACCGAUGCAACGAAGCGAGGAAGGAAAUCCACAAAUGAAUUUGGAGAUCUCCACACUGACUGAGACUAGAAAUCACACAGGCAAGGACAAUACAGUUCCCCUGAUUACUUCAAGGCAAGAGAUUUUUUUUCCCUCUUGCUGCUGGUGGAGUUAUGGUGCACAGCAGGGGAUGGGAUGGUGCAUGGAUGACAAGGAUGAUGAGAGAAGCAGACACCUAACCUAAUGAGCGGCUAAAGCUCCCUAUGCCAACCGAACUGAGCAAGAAGCAAAGAGCACAGCACAGCAUAGAGUUAGGAUUUGCACUGAAAUCAAGCAGGUCUGAAUUUUGCUGAGCACAAGUAAUAUUUGCUCUUGCUCCAUCAAUUCGGACGAACCCUAGAAAUCAAAGGGAUAAAAAGAAAAAGAAAAAAGGCAAGCAAUUUGGGAAGCAACGUGAGUGGCGACUGACUUGAGUGGGAGUGACACGCAGCUAGAGCACCAGCAGCCAGACGAAGAAGAAGAAGAAGACGGGAUGGAAUCAAACCCUAAGCCCUAAAUUAAACCCUAGUGAGUGGACUUAGCGGGCGCUUUCCUCCUCGGCACGACCCGUGGGCGCCGGCCCGGCGCCGCCUGGGCCGCCGGAGAAGGAGGCGAGAAGGUUGAGGUUUCCCUGUGCCAUGGGUAGGUAGUUGCCGACCCUGGCAGCCGACGCCUCCCCCG